Molecule: ribosomal RNA, 867 nt
Filed under: uncultured bacterium
Lineage: Bacteria
Description: bacterial SSU rRNA
Rfam family: Bacterial small subunit ribosomal RNA
Source: RNAcentral
GAACGCUAGCGGCAGGCUUAAUACAUGCAAGUCGAACGGGAUUCGGGGUAGCAAUACUUUGAUGAGAGUGGCGCACGGGUGCGUAACGCGUAUGCAACCUACCUUUAACAGGGGAAUAGCCCCGAGAAAUCGGGAUUAAUACUCCGUAACAUUGCGGUGUGGCAUCACACUGCACUUAAAGCUGAGGCGGUUAAAGAUGGGCAUGCGUGACAUUAGCUAGUUGGUGAGGUAACGGCUCACCAAGGCAACGAUGUCUAGGGGUCCUGAGAGGGUUAUCCCCCACACUGGUACUGAGACACGGACCAGACUCCUACGGGAGGCAGCAGUAAGGAAUAUUGGUCAAUGGGCGCAAGCCUGAACCAGCCAUGCCGCGUGCAGGAAGACGGCCCUAUGGGUUGUAAACUGCUUUUGUCAGGGAAUAAACCCCCGCUCGUGAGCGGGGCUGAAGGUACCUGAAGAAUAAGCAUCGGCUAACUCCGUGCCAGCAGCCGCGGUAAUACGGAGGAUCCAAGCGUUAUCCGGAUUUAUUGGGUUUAAAGGGUGCGUAGGCGGAAUUGUAAGUCAGUGGUGAAAUCCUACAGCUUAACUGUAGAACGGCCAUUGAUACUGCAAAUCUUGAGUACAUUUGAAGUGGGCGGAAUGUGUCAUGUAGCGGUGAAAUGCUUAGAUAUGACACAGAACACCGAUUGCGAAGGCAGCUCACUAAACUGUAACUGACGCUGAGGCACGAAAGCGUGGGGAGCAAACAGGAUUAGAUACCCUGGUAGUCCACGCCCUAAACUAUGAUUACUCGAUGUGUGCGAUAUACUGUACGCGUCUAAGCGAAAGCAUUAAGUAAUCCACCUGGGGAGUACGAUCGCAAGGUUG